RNAcentral lists this unclassified non-coding RNA (347 nucleotides) under soil metagenome. Its description in RNAcentral is "partial contains 5.8S ribosomal RNA, internal transcribed spacer 2, and large subunit ribosomal RNA". The stretch from base 1 to 120 matches the Rfam family "5.8S ribosomal RNA", at positions 35 to 154 of the family's 154-position model. The record is from RNAcentral.
GAUGAAGAACGCAGCGAACUGCGAUAAGUAAUGUGAAUUGCAGAAUUCAGUGAAUCAUCGAGUCUUUGAACGCACAUUGCGCCCCCUGGCAUUCCGGGGGGCAUGCCUGUCCGAGCGUCAUUGCUGCCCAUCAAGCCCGGCUUGUGUGUUGGGUCGUCGUCCCCCCCGGGGGACGGGCCCGAAAGGCAGCGGCGGCACCGUGUCCGGUCCUCGAGCGUAUGGGGCUUUGUCACCCGCUCGAUUAGGGCCGGCCGGGCGCCAGCCGACGUCUCCAACCAUUUUCUUCAGGUUGACCUCGGAUCAGGUAGGGAUACCCGCUGAACUUAAGCAUAUCAAUAAGCGGAGGA